AAUACCUCUCAAGCGAAUUUGCUUGGUCGUGGAAGAUGAGUAUGCGUGCAUUCUCCCUUCUGAAAUUCAAAGGCGGAUGAUGGCAUAUCCCCAGGUGUAGUAAGUUUAUCUUUUCGCUUGGUGUGUGUGAUUGUCCUGCCGUUGACCCCCAUUUUUUCAAGGUUGACCUCGGAUCAGGUAGGGAUACCCGCUGAACUUAA
RNAcentral lists this unclassified non-coding RNA (200 nucleotides) under soil metagenome. RNAcentral's name for it is "partial contains internal transcribed spacer 2 and large subunit ribosomal RNA". The record is from RNAcentral.